This 1149-nucleotide ribosomal RNA is filed under the name human gut metagenome. RNAcentral describes it as "bacterial LSU rRNA". It matches the Rfam family "Bacterial large subunit ribosomal RNA", at positions 808 to 1983 of the family's 2925-position model. The record is from RNAcentral.
GGUGUGGAUAGGGGAGAAAUUCCAAUCGAACCCGGAGAUAGCUGGUUCUCCUCGAAAUAGCUUUAGGGCUAGCCUCGUAUUAGUCUGGUGGAGGUAGAGCACUGAAUUUCCUAGGGGGCGUCAAAGCCUACCGAAGAAUAUCAAACUCCGAAUGCCAUACAGAUGAUGUACGGGAGUCAGACGGCACGAGAUAAGUUGGGUCGUCAAAAGGGAAAGAGCCCAGACCUGCAGCUAAGGUCCCAAAGUGUGUGUUAAGUGGAAAAGGAUGUGGGAUUUCAAAGACAACUAGGAUGUUGGCUCAGAAGCAGCCACACAUUCAAAGAGUGCGUAAUAGCUCACUAGUCGAGAGGUCCUGCGCCGAAAAUGUCCGGGGCUGAAACACAACACCGAAGCUCAGGAAUGUAUUUAUACAUUGGUAGAGGAGCAUUCUUAAAGGGGCGAAGCAGUACCGAUAAGGAGCUGUGGACUUUUAAGAAGAGAGAAUGCCGGAAUGAGUAGCGAGAUGGAGGUGGGAAUCCUCCAGGCCGAAUAUCUAAGGUUUCCAGGGUAAAGCUGAUCUGCCCUGGGUAAGUCGGGGCCUAAGGCAAGGCUGAGAAGCGUAGCUGAUGGACAACAGGUUUAGAUUCCUGUACCACAUGGUAUCAGAACUGUGGGGACGCAGAGGGAUAAGAUGACCGGGGAACAGAACUCCGGGCAAGCGUAGGAGGUGUCAGGCAGGCAAAUCCGCCUGAUAAGCCAAAGACGUGACGCGGACCGAACUCAAGUAGGGAAGCAUCCGAUUCCAGCUGCCGAGAAAAGCCGCUAUUGUGUACCAUGUGCCCGUACCGUAAACCGACACAGGUGGAUGAGGAGAGAAUCCUAAGGCCGGCGGGAGAAGCAUUGUUAAGGAACUCGGCAAAAUGACCCCGUAACUUCGGGAUAAGGGGUGCCAGAGAGAUCUGGCCGCAGAGAAUAGGCUCAAGCAACUGUUUAGCAAAAACACAGGUCUAUGCGAAACCGUAAGGUGAUGUAUAUGGGCUGACGCCUGCCCGGUGCUGGAAGGUUAAGAGGAGAGGUUAGAGCAAUCGAAGCUUUGAAUUGAAGCCCCAGUAAACGGCGGCCGUAACUAUAACGGUCCUAAGGUAGCGAAAUUCCUUGUCGGGUAAGUUC